This is a long non-coding RNA of Bombus terrestris (buff-tailed bumblebee), 1024 nucleotides long. RefSeq lists it as uncharacterized. The record is from RefSeq and is a predicted model, not a curated record. NCBI's taxonomy places the organism in Eukaryota, Metazoa, Arthropoda, Insecta, Hymenoptera, Apidae. The transcript has 2 exons.
AUCAUUAAUACGUAAACGUGAUUUAUUUUCUUUCGGUAGAAUUGAUUAUUUAAAAUAUUCCUUUAAUUUAUAUAUAGAACAAAUAAUAAUAUAUAUAAUUAGUUCACAUUUUAUCUACCUCAAAUAUGUAUUACGUGUUAUGGAAAAUUGAAAGAAACACCUAAUUGGAAUAAAAUAUCUUAAAAUUUCUAUGAUUUUGGUAUUAACUAAUGUACCAUCUUGUUUUUCUAAUUGUAUAUCUAGAAUACAAGUCACACAAUUUUUUAAAGAAGCGAUUGAUUUUUGCACGAAUCACAUCUUAUGCAUAUAUAUGUGCAUUUAUGGUUACAUCUUCAUCUAGCUUCAUAAGUCUUUACACAUAUGUACUUAUAUAUGUGGCUAUGAACCGACGCAAGCGUGUUGCGAGGUUGUGCUGCUUUUUUAACUAUUUCAACAACUGCGCUUACAUUCGGCAAUAUCAGCGAAAAGAUUAUUGCGCAUAGGUGAUUAUACAUCGACUACUUUUCAUGUUCUACAAACUUGUAUCAAUUAAGACAACGAUAUAUUCAACAAGUAGUGUAAUAAUAAUACUGUAAUCUUUGUAUAAAAUAAUGUAAAGAUUCCUCUAUAUGGGAAGGUGAGAAACAAGUGGCUGCAGCCAAAUUGGCGCAUAAGGAACGUUCAUUGCCAGUAAUAAGAACAGCACAGGUACCAGUAGGUUCUUUCUUUGUAUAUUGAUAACGAACAUUUAAGCCAUCUGCACGUGCCUUAUCCUCCAAAAUUUUGGAAUACUUAUCUAUUCCAACGCAACCCAUGUAAGUUGCAACUCGUGGUUUCUCCAGGAACCACUAUGGGAUAGUCAAUGUUUGAUAUUUCUAUUAAUGUAAUACAUCAAAUAAUAUAAAGAGCUUACUUGUGCUACUCGCAUAGUAUUUUGUACAGAACCACCGGCAAUAAAAUCUGCGUUAUACAAUUCAACUAAUUCAUCAUACAUUGGCUUGUGUUUUUCUUCAGCAAGAAUUGCAUCGUUCGAUUUUAAAUCAUA